Molecule: ribosomal RNA, 114 nt
Filed under: Kodamaea restingae
Lineage: Eukaryota; Fungi; Ascomycota; Pichiomycetes; Serinales; Debaryomycetaceae
Also listed under: 4 other names
Description: [Candida] restingae 5.8S ribosomal RNA
Rfam family: 5.8S ribosomal RNA
About the family: 5.8S ribosomal RNA (5.8S rRNA) is a component of the large subunit of the eukaryotic ribosome. It is transcribed by RNA polymerase I as part of the 45S precursor that also contains 18S and 28S rRNA.
Source: RNAcentral
AAAACUUUCAACAACGGAUCUCUUGGUUCUCGCAUCGAUGAAGAACGCAGCGAAAUGCGAUACGUAAUACGAAUUGCAGCUCUCGGAAUCAUCGAAUCUUUGAACGCACAUUGC